GUACCUUUGGGAACAUCCCAUAAACUUGAAGCAAUACAGAGAAGAUUCACAUGGCCUCUGUGCAAGGAUAAAAUGAAGGAAUCGAGUCCAAAAUAUUUUU
Thalictrum thalictroides is the source of this 100-nucleotide non-coding RNA. The record is from the annotation of a GenBank genome assembly. NCBI's taxonomy places the organism in Eukaryota, Viridiplantae, Streptophyta, Magnoliopsida, Ranunculales, Ranunculaceae.